This 391-nucleotide ribosomal RNA is filed under the name uncultured bacterium. Its description in RNAcentral is "bacterial SSU rRNA". It matches the Rfam family "Bacterial small subunit ribosomal RNA", at positions 116 to 507 of the family's 1533-position model. The record is from RNAcentral.
CGUAUGCAACCUGCCUCAAACAGGGGGAUAAGCGGCGGAAACGCCGUCUAAUACCGCGUACGACUCCGGAGGGCAUCCUCUGGGGUUGAAAGAAUUUUUGGUUUGAGAUGGGCAUGCGGCGCAUUAGCUAGUUGGCGGGGUAACGGCCCACCAAGGCGACGAUGCGUAGGGGUUCUGAGAGGAAGGUCCCCCACACUGGUACUGAGACACGGACCAGACUCCUACGGGAGGCAGCAGUGAGGAAUAUUGGUCAAUGGGCGCGAGCCUGAACCAGCCAAGUCGCGUGAGGGAAGACGGCCCUAAGGGUUGUAAACCUCUUUUGUCGGGGAGCAAAGAUGGCUCGAGAGCCAUUUUGAGAGUACCCGAAGAAAAAGCAUCGGCUAACUCCGUG